AUUGAACGCUGGCGGCAGGCUUAACACAUGCAAGUCGAACGAUGAGUCUCUAGCUUGCUAGAGAUGAUUAGUGGCGGACGGGUGAGUAACAUUUAGGAAUCUACCUAGUAGUGGGGGAUAGCUCGGGGAAACUCGAAUUAAUACCGCAUACGACCUACGGGUGAAAGGGGGCGCAAGCUCUUGCUAUUAGAUGAGCCUAAAUCAGAUUAGCUAGUUGGUGGGGUAAAGGCCCACCAAGGCGACGAUCUGUAACUGGUCUGAGAGGAUGAUCAGUCACACCGGAAAGGAAACGCGGGCCGGCCCCCUCGGGGGGGCAGCAGGGGGGAAUUUGGAACAAGGGGGGCAACCCUGACCCACCCCGGCCGGGGGGGGGAAGAAGGCUUUUUGGUUGUAAAGCAUUUAAAGCGGGGAGGAGAGGCAAAUGUUUAAUACCCAUAAGAUAGGACUUUACCUGAAAAAAAAGCCCCGGCUAACUCUGUC
This 480-nucleotide ribosomal RNA is filed under the name uncultured bacterium. Its description in RNAcentral is "partial 16S ribosomal RNA". It matches the Rfam family "Bacterial small subunit ribosomal RNA", at positions 30 to 507 of the family's 1533-position model. The record is from RNAcentral.